GAUGAACGCUGGCGGCGUGCCUAAUACAUGCAAGUCGAGCGAACAGACGAGGAGCUUGCUCCUCUGACGUUAGCGGCGGACGGGUGAGUAACACGUGGAUAACCUACCUAUAAGACUGGGAUAACUUCGGGAAACCGGAGCUAAUACCGGAUAAUAUAUUGAACCGCAUGGUUCAAUAGUGAAAGACGGUUUUGCUGUCACUUAUAGAUGGAUCCGCGCCGCAUUAGCUAGUUGGUAAGAUAACGGCUUACCAAGGCAACGAUGCGUAGCCGACCUGAGAGGGUGAUCGGCCACACUGGAACUGAGACACGGUCCAGACUCCUACGGGAGGCAGCAGUAGGGAAUCUUCCGCAAUGGGCGAAAGCUUGACGCAGCAACGCCGCGUGAGUGAUGAAGGUCUUCGGAUCGUAAAACUCUGUUAUUAGGGAAGAACAAAUGUGUAAGUAACUAUGCACGUCUUGACGGUACCUAAUCAGAAAGCCACGGCUAACUACGUG
This 497-nucleotide ribosomal RNA is filed under the name uncultured bacterium. Its description in RNAcentral is "partial 16S ribosomal RNA". It matches the Rfam family "Bacterial small subunit ribosomal RNA", at positions 28 to 507 of the family's 1533-position model. The record is from RNAcentral.